This 2902-nucleotide ribosomal RNA is filed under the name Escherichia coli HVH 111 (4-7039018). RNAcentral's name for it is "bacterial LSU rRNA". It matches the Rfam family "Bacterial large subunit ribosomal RNA". Lineage: Bacteria; Pseudomonadati; Pseudomonadota; Gammaproteobacteria; Enterobacterales; Enterobacteriaceae. The record is from RNAcentral.
UUAAGCGACUAAGCGUACACGGUGGAUGCCCUGGCAGUCAGAGGCGAUGAAGGACGUGCUAAUCUGCGAUAAGCGUCGGUGAGGUGAUAUGAACCGUUAUAACCGGCGAUUUCCGAAUGGGGAAACCCAGUGUGUUUCGACACACUAUCAUUAACUGAAUCCAUAGGUUAAUGAGGCGAACCGGGGGAACUGAAACAUCUAAGUACCCCGAGGAAAAGAAAUCAACCGAGAUUCCCCCAGUAGCGGCGAGCGAACGGGGAGGAGCCCAGAGCCUGAAUCAGUGUGUGUGUUAGUGGAAGCGUCUGGAAAGGCGCGCGAUACAGGGUGACAGCCCCGUACACAAAAAUGCACAUGCUGUGAGCUCGAUGAGUAGGGCGGGACACGUGGUAUCCUGUCUGAAUAUGGGGGGACCAUCCUCCAAGGCUAAAUACUCCUGACUGACCGAUAGUGAACCAGUACCGUGAGGGAAAGGCGAAAAGAACCCCGGCGAGGGGAGUGAAAAAGAACCUGAAACCGUGUACGUACAAGCAGUGGGAGCCUCUUUAUGGGGUGACUGCGUACCUUUUGUAUAAUGGGUCAGCGACUUAUAUUCUGUAGCAAGGUUAACCGAAUAGGGGAGCCGAAGGGAAACCGAGUCUUAACUGGGCGUUAAGUUGCAGGGUAUAGACCCGAAACCCGGUGAUCUAGCCAUGGGCAGGUUGAAGGUUGGGUAACACUAACUGGAGGACCGAACCGACUAAUGUUGAAAAAUUAGCGGAUGACUUGUGGCUGGGGGUGAAAGGCCAAUCAAACCGGGAGAUAGCUGGUUCUCCCCGAAAGCUAUUUAGGUAGCGCCUCGUAAAUUCAUCUCCGGGGGUAGAGCACUGUUUCGGCAAGGGGGUCAUCCCGACUUACCAACCCGAUGCAAACUGCGAAUACCGGAGAAUGUUAUCACGGGAGACACACGGCGGGUGCUAACGUCCGUCGUGAAGAGGGAAACAACCCAGACCGCCAGCUAAGGUCCCAAAGUCAUGGUUAAGUGGGAAACGAUGUGGGAAGGCCCAGACAGCCAGGAUGUUGGCUUAGAAGCAGCCAUCAUUUAAAGAAAGCGUAAUAGCUCACUGGUCGAGUCGGCCUGCGCGGAAGAUGUAACGGGGCUAAACCAUGCACCGAAGCUGCGGCAGCGACACUAUGUGUUGUUGGGUAGGGGAGCGUUCUGUAAGCCUGUGAAGGUGGCCUGUGAGGGUUGCUGGAGGUAUCAGAAGUGCGAAUGCUGACAUAAGUAACGAUAAAGCGGGUGAAAAGCCCGCUCGCCGGAAGACCAAGGGUUCCUGUCCAACGUUAAUCGGGGCAGGGUGAGUCGACCCCUAAGGCGAGGCCGAAAGGCGUAGUCGAUGGGAAACAGGUUAAUAUUCCUGUACUUGGUGUUACUGCGAAGGGGGGACGGAGAAGGCUAUGUUGGCCGGGCGACGGUUGUCCCGGUUUAAGCGUGUAGGCUGGUUUUCCAGGCAAAUCCGGAAAACCAAGGCUGAGGCGUGAUGACGAGGCACUACGGUGCUGAAGCGACAAAUGCCCUGCUUCCAGGAAAAGCCUCUAAGCAUCAGGUAACAUCAAAUCGUACCCCAAACCGACACAGGUGGUCAGGUAGAGAAUACCAAGGCGCUUGAGAGAACUCGGGUGAAGGAACUAGGCAAAAUGGUGCCGUAACUUCGGGAGAAGGCACGCUGAUAUGUAGGUGAAGCGACUUGCUCGUGGAGCUGAAAUCAGUCGAAGAUACCAGCUGGCUGCAACUGUUUAUUAAAAACACAGCACUGUGCAAACACGAAAGUGGACGUAUACGGUGUGACGCCUGCCCGGUGCCGGAAGGUUAAUUGAUGGGGUUAGCGGCAACGCGAAGCUCUUGAUCGAAGCCCCGGUAAACGGCGGCCGUAACUAUAACGGUCCUAAGGUAGCGAAAUUCCUUGUCGGGUAAGUUCCGACCUGCACGAAUGGCGUAAUGAUGGCCAGGCUGUCUCCACCCGAGACUCAGUGAAAUUGAACUCGCUGUGAAGAUGCAGUGUACCCGCGGCAAGACGGAAAGACCCCGUGAACCUUUACUAUAGCUUGACACUGAACAUUGAGCCUUGAUGUGUAGGAUAGGUGGGAGGCUUUGAAGUGUGGACGCCAGUCUGCAUGGAGCCGACCUUGAAAUACCACCCUUUAAUGUUUGAUGUUCUAACGUGGGCCCCUAAUCGGGGUUGCGGACAGUGUCUGGUGGGUAGUUUGACUGGGGCGGUCUCCUCCUAAAGAGUAACGGAGGAGCACGAAGGUUGGCUAAUCCUGGUCGGACAUCAGGAGGUUAGUGCAAUGGCAUAAGCCAGCUUGACUGCGAGCGUGACGGCGCGAGCAGGUGCGAAAGCAGGUCAUAGUGAUCCGGUGGUUCUGAAUGGAAGGGCCAUCGCUCAACGGAUAAAAGGUACUCCGGGGAUAACAGGCUGAUACCGCCCAAGAGUUCAUAUCGACGGCGGUGUUUGGCACCUCGAUGUCGGCUCAUCACAUCCUGGGGCUGAAGUAGGUCCCAAGGGUAUGGCUGUUCGCCAUUUAAAGUGGUACGCGAGCUGGGUUUAGAACGUCGUGAGACAGUUCGGUCCCUAUCUGCCGUGGGCGCUGGAGAACUGAGGGGGGCUGCUCCUAGUACGAGAGGACCGGAGUGGACGCAUCACUGGUGUUCGGGUUGUCAUGCCAAUGGCACUGCCCGGUAGCUAAAUGCGGAAGAGAUAAGUGCUGAAAGCAUCUAAGCACGAAACUUGCCCCGAGAUGAGUUCUCCCUGAGACCUAGAGUCUCCUGAAGGAACGUUGAAGACGACGACGUUGAUAGGCCGGGUGUGUAAGCGCAGCGAUGCGUUGAGCUAACCGGUACUAAUGAACCGUGAGGCUUAACCUU